Molecule: ribosomal RNA, 466 nt
Filed under: uncultured bacterium
Lineage: Bacteria
Description: bacterial SSU rRNA
Rfam family: Bacterial small subunit ribosomal RNA
Source: RNAcentral
AUUGAACGCUGGCGGAAUGCUUUACACAUGCAAGUCGAACGGCAGCACGGGGCAACCUGGUGGCGAGUGGCGAACGGGUGAGUAAUACAUCGGAACGUGCCCAAUCGUGGGGGAUAACGUAGCGAAAGAUACGCUAAUACCGCAUACGAUCUACGGAUGAAAGCGGGGGAUCGCAAGACCUCGCGCGAAUGGAGCGGCCGAUGUCAGAUUAGGUAGUUGGUGGGGUAAAGGCUCACCAAGCCAACGAUCUGUAGCUGGUCUGAGAGGACGACCAGCCACACUGGAACUGAGACACGGUCCAGACUCCUACGGGAGGCAGCAGUGGGGAAUUUUGGACAAUGGGCGCAAGCCUGAUCCAGCCAUUCCGCGUGCAGGAUGAAGGCCUUCGGGUUGUAAACUGCUUUUGUACGGAACGAAACGGCGAGCUCUAAUACAGUUUGCUAAUGACGGUACCGUAAGAUAAGCA